UUCGGGAUGCCGGCGAGUGGCAAACGGGUGAGUAACGCGUGGAUACCUGUCCUAUGGUGGGGAAUAACGUUUAGAAAUGAACGCUAAUACCGCAUAAGCCCUACGGGGGAAAGAUUUAUCGCCAUAGGAGGGGUCUGCGUCGGAUUAGCUAGUUGGUGGGGUAAAGGCCUACCAAGGCGACGAUCCGUAGCUGGUCUGAGAGGAUGAUCAGCCACACUGGGACUGAGACACGGCCCAGACUCCUACGGGAGGCAGCAGUGGGGAAUAUUGCGCAAUGGGGGAAACCCUGACGCAGCGACGCCGCGUGGGUGAAGAAGGCCUUAGGGUUGUAAAGCCCUUUCAGCAGGAAAGAUUGUGACGGUACCUGCAGAAGAAGCUCCGGCUAACUCCGUGCCAGCAGCCGCGGUAAUACGGAGGGAGCUAGCGUUGUUCGGAAUUACUGGGCGUAAAGGGCGCGUAGGCGGUUUGACAAG
RNAcentral lists this ribosomal RNA (473 nucleotides) under uncultured Magnetococcus sp. RNAcentral's name for it is "bacterial SSU rRNA". It matches the Rfam family "Bacterial small subunit ribosomal RNA", at positions 79 to 587 of the family's 1533-position model. Lineage: Bacteria; Pseudomonadati; Pseudomonadota; Magnetococcia; Magnetococcales; Magnetococcaceae. The record is from RNAcentral.